Non-coding RNA from Equus caballus (horse), 426 nucleotides. Lineage: Eukaryota; Metazoa; Chordata; Mammalia; Perissodactyla; Equidae. The record is from RefSeq and is a predicted model, not a curated record.
AUCAGAGCUUCCAGUCUAACACAGACUACGAAGGACCUGGCCACCUACUUCCAAAAAAUUGGCCAUGAAACCGUAGGAACAGCAGGGAGCAUUAUGUGAUAGAGCGCCGGAAGGAAGAUGAGCCCUGAGCUAACAUCCACCAAACCUCCCCUUCUUGCUGAGGAAGACUGGCCCUGAGCUAACAUGUGUGCCCAUCUUCCUCUAUUUUAUGUGGGACACCUACUACAGCAUGGCUUGCCAAGCGGCGUCAUGUCCAUGCCCCAGAUGCGAACCGGCGAACCCCGGGCCGCUGAAGCAGAACGUGUGAACUUAACUGCUGUGCCACUGGGCCAGCCCCUGUAUGUUACUUUUUAAACAUUUUAAUUUUAACAGGAUUCAAUAACUAGAAAACAUUGAGAGAAAAGUAAAAAAAAAAUUUUUAUUUCU